UCGUGUUGACGAACUUGACCAACUACCUAUCAGAUCUGGGGUGACUGAGGAUCGUGUACCAGAGGUGCAGAUUCCGGAGAGGAAAUUCGGGAGAAACCGUCACAUCGUUUUACAGCCUCCUCGGUAACCUGUGCAGCACAGUUGGAGCCGUUCUGUCCAGACAGCUGCAUAUUCAGAUAUUAAUGGGUGCUUUUGCUGCUGUUUUGGAUGCUGUCCAUUUUGUGUCUUGCUGUGUCCCUUUGCUCCUGUGCUGGAACUCAAAGGCAGAAAGGAGGCAGAGGAUGAUGAGGGGGCGGAGGAGGCAGCACCUCCUUGCUGUGUGUGUGCUGAUGGUUGUCGCUGGAGGUUUUCUGAAGUCGAGGGUCACCAAUCUCCCAGCAGACAGACCUCUAAUCAGGAGGAGACUGCUGCAUGUCACACUCCAAGACAACACUGAAAUCCUCGGUUAAAUACUUGUUG
Molecule: RNA transcript, 459 nt
Organism: Larimichthys crocea (large yellow croaker)
Lineage: Eukaryota; Metazoa; Chordata; Actinopteri; Sciaenidae
Exons: 4
Source: RefSeq, a predicted model, not a curated record